RNAcentral lists this ribosomal RNA (509 nucleotides) under uncultured bacterium. RNAcentral describes it as "partial 16S ribosomal RNA". It matches the Rfam family "Bacterial small subunit ribosomal RNA", at positions 28 to 523 of the family's 1533-position model. The record is from RNAcentral.
GACGAACGCUGGCGGCGUGCUUAACACAUGCAAGUGGUGCGACGAACCAGGCUUCGGCCUGGGGCGAAGCCGCGAACGGGUGAGUAACACGUGGGCAAUCUGCCCCUUUGAUCGGGACAACCCGGGGAAACCCGGGCUAAUACCGAAUGAGGUGGCGACUCAUGAGAGUCGUCACGAAAGGAAGCUUCGGCCUCCGCGAAGGGAUGAGCCCGCGGCCCAUUAGCUUGUUGGUGGGGUAAUGGCCUACCAAGGCAACGAUGGGUAGCUGGGCUGAGAGGACGAGCAGCCACACUGGGACUGAGACACGGCCCAGGCUCCUACGGGAGGCUGCAGUGGGGAAUCUUGCGCAAUGAGCGACAGCUUGACGCAGCAACGCCGCGUGAGGGAAGAAGGCUUUCGGGUCGUAAACCUCUUUCAGUUAGGACGAAGCUUUAUUGGUUAAUAACCAAUUGGAGUGACGGUACUUUCAGAAGAAGCCCCGGCUAACUACGUGCCAGCAGCCGCGGUAA